This is a long non-coding RNA of Populus nigra (black poplar), 1135 nucleotides long. RefSeq lists it as uncharacterized. NCBI's taxonomy places the organism in Eukaryota, Viridiplantae, Streptophyta, Magnoliopsida, Malpighiales, Salicaceae. The record is from RefSeq and is a predicted model, not a curated record. The transcript has 2 exons.
CCCUCGAGCAUAUUUUCUGCGCUAAAAGAAAUUUAGCUCGGCCCAUGUAAUAUAAUGGAUACCACCUAUCUAUUCUUUAUUCUAAGCCUCGUUAGAGAAUCCACAUCCUUGCUAGCCUAACCCAAUCCUUAGCUAUAAUAGCAAAGUGGAAGUGAAUAAAAAAAAAAAAACGAGCAUUGUUGCUCUCUCACUGUAGCACUCCUCAACUGACUUUCAAGGAAGGCGCGAGAGAGGAGAAGGUCGCGGGAGAAAAAGAGAGAUUAUACAUGGCAUCUGGAUUCUGUCUUCUGUUCCUGGCUUCAAUUUUCCUAGCAAUCAAUAGUUCAACGAUGGCGAUCCUGCACGAGAGUUCAUCAGGAUCCGUGGUGCUAUAGAGUUCAUCAGACAAUACUCCUUAGAGGCAAAACACACUUAAUUUCUCGUCUCAAAUCUCUCACCCUUUUAUAGGUUUGUUUUGUUUCUUUUAAAUUUCUGAAGAAAUGGACAGGAUCUAUGGAGGGUUAGAUGAGGCGAAAGCUGAGAUUGAGAAGCUCAAAGCAGAUUUGAAAUGCAAAGUAGAAUUUUCUGACAGUUUCAAAUGCUUCAGGAGGCUGAUAUUCAGGAAGUGGGAAAUUCUUCUUCUUUGGAAAAAAUGCAAAAUAAGCUAAGAGUUUAGAGCAGAUGCACAGAAAUUGCUCUGCAAAUCUUAAAGCUAAAGAAGCUGACCGGAGCUCUCAACUGGAGAAACUAACUGGAGAGCUGGAUAAUUACGGGUCUGCACUAGAGAACAAAGAAACAGCAAUAAAAGAGCUUGGCAUGGAAGUGAAAAAUUGCCACUCUAUGAUAUUGCAGUUGAAGUUGCAGAAUGAGGAGGCUUCAUCAAUGAUACUGGUAUUGAAAUCAGGAAUAACUGAGGCUUAAUUGAACACUGAGAAUGCUGGUUGUUGAUUUGGAAGAACUGAGCACCCGCCCAUCUUCUACUCUCCAUCCCAUCUUCUCUUUAUGUUUUGCUUUGAUUGUUUUAUUCUCGCAGCAAGUAUCCUAUAAUAUUAUCGGGAAUGGAAAUGUUAGAAUCCUUAGAUUUUUUUUGCGGCAAAGAAAUGUUUAUGUACCUGCAAUGUUCCUAACCAUACACAGUUAGAAUCUGCUUUGUAUU